UACGUAGGUGGCAAGCGUUAUCCGGAAUCAUUGGGCGCAAAGAGCGCGCAGGUGGUUAAUUAAGUCUGAUGUGAAAGCCCACGGCUUAACCGUGGAGGGUCAUUGGAAACUGGUUGACUUGAGUGCAGAAGAGGGAAGUGGAAUUCCAUGUGUAGCGGUGAAAUGCGUAGAGAUAUGGAGGAACACCAGUGGCGAAGGCGGCUUCCUGGUCUGCAACUGACACUGAGGCGCGAAAGCGUGGGGAGCAAACAGG
RNAcentral lists this ribosomal RNA (253 nucleotides) under uncultured bacterium. RNAcentral's name for it is "partial 16S ribosomal RNA". It matches the Rfam family "Bacterial small subunit ribosomal RNA", at positions 524 to 776 of the family's 1533-position model. The record is from RNAcentral.